This 668-nucleotide long non-coding RNA is filed under the name Sinocyclocheilus grahami. RNAcentral's name for it is "lncRNA (ENSSGRG00000037543.1)". The record is from RNAcentral. Lineage: Eukaryota; Metazoa; Chordata; Actinopteri; Cypriniformes; Cyprinidae.
CCCGAAUGUAGCUCUGAAAAACAGCCGCUAUGAUGCCAGAGUACAGCAAAUGUGAGCUGGUAAACUCUGAAGCACUUGCUGUGAUUUGCAGCCCCAAUGUGAAAAAUGUCCCCUGGCUUGGCUUCUCCAUGUUGAAGGCCACAGAAAUCCAUCCCAAUAUGACUCCACAGCGAGACCUUGGUGCUGUGUCCUGUGAAUCCUGCCCGGAAUUGCUGUUUUAUUGAGGCAAUAUUCUCUCUAAAUAAUAAUCAGACUUUUAUUGGGUCGUUCAUGCUCGGAGCUGGGGGAGUUUCUUGCUCCAUUGCUUUAUUGUGCCCCAGUUGCUCUUUUCAACUCUGUUCUCUAGUCUGAGGAAAAUCCGUAUGAGCCUGUAUUCAUCAUUAUUUACCAUUUGAUCAGCUGAAGCAACAUGACAUUUUCCCCGCACCUCUCUCUUUUGUGUUUUGAUCAUAAUAAUUUAGGGAUUUCAAAAAUUCUCUAUCAAAACUUGCUGUUCCCUGAAGACACAAUCCCAAAUGGCAUAUAGGGGUGAAAUUAGCCAUUUCAAAUUUUUUGGAUGUAGACAUGCAAAACAAUUUGAAUUUCUGAUAAUGAAUCAGUGCCGAGUGCAUAAAUUCUGCUUACUUUCAUAUUCUAAUUAUUAUAAAAUUGAAAUUGCAAAAUGUAAC